Non-coding RNA from Neolamprologus brichardi, 1245 nucleotides. The record is from RefSeq and is a predicted model, not a curated record. Lineage: Eukaryota; Metazoa; Chordata; Actinopteri; Cichliformes; Cichlidae.
CAGUAGUUUGUGGGUGAGAAGAAGCUCCUCCUCCAUGGAAGGAUCCUUUUUCUGUCUCUUGUCCUGGAGCAUCACUGGUGACAGCAUCUCUUCAGCAGAGUCAUGAGUCCUGAACGAGAGACAGACGGAUUGUAAAACACGUAAAUCUUUGUUUUAAUGUUCAGAUAUAAAUUUUUAGCUGUGUCUUCACCUACAAUAAAAAGCUGGAGCUCUACAAUGUCCUGAAUGGGCCACUGCCACACAGGACAAGAACACGGCCUUCUUACUGGCGCCUCCCUCAGGACAAAUUUCCCAUUUUGGCAUAUGUGCUCAGUUACAAUAAUGCAAGGUGAAACUUGACUUCCUGUUUGCUCUAAACACACCUUUGCACCAAUCGUUUUAUAGCGCUGGUCUAACUUACCGUUUCCUGCUUGUUGCUGAAGUUUCGGAAGGUUUCUCAGCUUCCUCGGUCAUACUGCUGAGGAAGGUCAGCUGGAAGUCAUCGUCCAUGGAGAUGUACGGAGCCAACAUGUCCAGGUCCAUCCCCUCCAUCUCCUGAGAAAAUGCAGACUUUGUUUUAAAGGCCAAGAUGCACUGAAGGUGUUCUGACGACAGCAGAGGGCCAAAUGCCCUGCUGAGAGCUUUAUGCUGGAUUUUGCUUUAAUUCGUCACCCGUCCGUAUAUGAAAGCCGUUUAGACCCAGGUAAGCGGUGAAAAUGAUUGAAAAUAUUACACUGUUGUAACACGCAGACACACACUGACACUCACAUGUGUGCAGGCUCUUGUUGAUGUGAUCUGAGUCGAGCGCGUGAAGAAACUCGAAGCCUGAGCGUCCAAUCAAAUCAUCAGGUUUGUAUCCCACCAGCUCUGCAACCCUGGAAACGGUGUGAGAAAAGAAAACCAGGAGUUCAGAGGUUUCUUUCGCGCCACAGUGGAACGGUAUUCCUCCUGCUUCCCAUCCACGGGGGGAAGGUCAAAGGUCGAGAUCGGUUACAUUUUUCCGUCUCACCUGCCCUCGCAGUGGGUGAAGCGCAGGUCCAUGCUGUGACGGGUGAGGAAGGUGCAAGUAUCCAGAGGGAACUCCACGCUGGAUGGGUGUGGGAUGGGCUCACACAGCAGGGUCAUGACUCUGCCUGCAGGGGGCGAUGCAGAGCCGCUGCCAAAGGGACGAAUGUGGCCUGUGCAGUGGAGGACCUGCAAGAGGGCGAGGAGUUCAUCAACCAAGCACGCUUCAAACAACCGAAAUAAACUUAUUUUUUUGCUCAA